RNAcentral lists this long non-coding RNA (429 nucleotides) under Canis lupus familiaris (dog). RNAcentral describes it as "lncRNA (ENSCAFG00000056397.1, ENSCAFG00805021751.1, ENSCAFG00845026574.1)". The record is from RNAcentral. Lineage: Eukaryota; Metazoa; Chordata; Mammalia; Carnivora; Canidae.
AUGGUACUGCAGGCGCCCUAUGGGAAAAGGUGCACUUUGCAAAGUCUGGAAUCAAACAACCAGCAAGUCGAGGUGGUGCAAGUCGAUGAUGCUGGCGUUGAAGAUUUGUAUGCUAUCCUGAAAAACUCAAAAGGAGGUCUUUUGAAAAAUCCAACUAUAACAUCUGCCAUUCUUUUUGCUCAGUGCCCGAAGGGGAUGUUUACCAAAAGUGGGGUCAACAGGAAUAUGAAGGGAAAUACAUAUUUUCCCCAAAGGCCUCUCAUGUGGAAUCCCUCCUUGGCUUCUGAAAGCUCAGCAUUACUCAGUACUCUGAACACCAUUUUUACUUCACGUCUCGUGUUAACAAGAUCUCACCCCAACCCACAAGUCACUGUGGCUUGCCCUUGGGAAGCCUGGCUAGGGACACACUCAGCCCGAAGAAACCUGUGA